RNAcentral lists this ribosomal RNA (1499 nucleotides) under uncultured prokaryote. RNAcentral's name for it is "partial 16S ribosomal RNA". It matches the Rfam family "Bacterial small subunit ribosomal RNA". The record is from RNAcentral.
AGAGUUUGAUCCUGGCUCAGAUUGAACGCUGGCGGUAUGCUUAACACAUGCAAGUCGAACGGUAACAUUGGAGCUUGCUCCAGAUGACGAGUGGCGGACGGGUGAGUAACGCGUAGGAAUCUGCCUAGUAGUGGGGGAUAACUUGGGGAAACCCAAGCUAAUACCGCAUAAGCCCCAUGGGGGAAAGCGGGGGAUCUUCGGACCUCGCGCUAUUAGAUGAGCCUGCGUUGGAUUAGCUAGUUGGUAGGGUAAGAGCCUACCAAGGCGACGAUCCAUAGCUGGUCUGAGAGGAUGAUCAGCCACACUGGGACUGAGACACGGCCCAGACUCCUACGGGAGGCAGCAGUGGGGAAUAUUGGACAAUGGGCGCAAGCCUGAUCCAGCAAUACCGCGUGUGUGAAGAAGGCCUGCGGGUUGUAAAGCACUUUCAGUAGGGAGGAAAAGUAAGUAGUUAAUAACUGCUACCCUGACGUUACCUACAGAAGAAGCACCGGCUAACUCAGUGCCAGCAGCCGCGGUAAUACGGAGGGUGCAAGCGUUAAUCGGAAUUACUGGGCGUAAAGCGCGCGUAGGCGGUUAGAUAAGUCAGAUGUGAAAGCCCCGGGCUCAACCUGGGAACUGCAUUUGAAACUGUUUAACUAGAGUGUGGUAGAGGAGAGUGGAAUUUCAGGUGUAGCGGUGAAAUGCGUAGAUAUCUGAAGGAACACCAGUGGCGAAGGCGGCUCUCUGGACCGAUACUGACGCUGAGGUACGAAAGUGUGGGGAGCAAACAGGAUUAGAUACCCUGGUAGUCCACACCGUAAACGAUGACUACUAGCCGUUGGGAGACUUGAUCUCUUAGUGGCGCAGCUAACGCAAUAAGUAGACCGCCUGGGGAGUACGGCCGCAAGGUUAAAACUCAAAUGAAUUGACGGGGGCCCGCACAAGCGGUGGAGCAUGAGGUUUAAUUCGAUGCAACGCGAAGAACCUUACCUACCCUUGACAUACAGAGAACUUUCCAGAGAUGGAUUGGUGCCUUCGGGAACCGAGAGACAGGUGCUGCAUGGCUGUCGUCAGCUCGUGUUGUGAGAUGUUGGGUUAAGUCCCGUAACGAGCGCAACCCUUAUUGUUAGUUGCCAGCACGUAAUGGUGGGGACUCUAACGAGACUGCCGGUGACAAGCCGGAGGAAGGUGGGGACGACGUCAAGUCAUCAUGGCCCUUAUGGGUAGGGCUACACGCGUGCUACAAUGGCCGGUACAGAGGGCUGCAAACUCGCGAGAGUAAGCCAAUCCCUUAAAGCCGGUCCUAGUCCGGAUUGCAGUCUGCAACUCGACUGCAUGAAGCUGGAAUCGCUAGUAAUCGCGGAUCAGAAUGCCGCGGUGAAUUCGUUCCCGGGCCUUGUACACACCGCCCGUCACACCAUGGGAGUGGGUUGUAAAAGAAGUAGGUAGGCUAACCUUCGGGAGGCCGCUUACCACUUUGUGAUUCAUGACUGGGGUGAAGUCGUAACAAGGUAGCC